GAUGAACGCUGGCGGCGUGCCUAAUACAUGCAAGUCGAGCGAACGGACGAGAAGCUCGCUUCGCUGCUGUUAGCGACGGACGGGUGAGUCACACGUAGAUAACCUACCUAUAAGACUGGGAUAACUUCGGGGAACCGUAGCUAAUACCGGAUAAUAUUUUGAAACGCAUGGUUCAAAAGUGAAAGACGGUCUUGCUGUCACUUAUAGAUGGUACCGCGCUGCAUUAGCUAGUUGGUAAGGUAACGGCUUACCAAGGCAACGAUGCAUAGCCGACCUGAGAGGGUGAUCAGCCACACUGGAACUGAGACACGGUCCAGACUCCUACGGGAGGCAGCAGUAGGGAAUCUUCCGCAAUGGGCGAAAGCCUGACGGAGCAACGCCGCGUGAGUGAUGAAGGUCUUCGGAUCGUAAAACUCUGUUAUUAGGGAAGAACAUAUGUGUAAGUAUCUGUGCACAUCUUGACGUUACCUAAUCAGAAAGCCCCGGCUAACUACGUG
Molecule: ribosomal RNA, 497 nt
Filed under: uncultured bacterium
Lineage: Bacteria
Description: partial 16S ribosomal RNA
Rfam family: Bacterial small subunit ribosomal RNA
Source: RNAcentral